GCUGUAUAACACAUAUCACCUUAAAAUUAGAUAUGAAAUUGACAAACCAGAUUAAUGUAUAUAAAUCAGAUAUAUGUCUUUGUAUGUGUACGGUGUGUGUGUGUGCGUGUGUGUGUCCCUGUGGAUUUUAUUGGCAUUGCGGCACAAUAAAAAAAUGCCAUUUCUAAAGGUAUUAUGUAGCACAGGAAAAAUUUUACAACUACAUAUUUUGAGUACUUCUCAAAUUAUUCAAAAUUCAUAUUAUAUGGCAUUAAUUUUUUCUCUUUAGAAACGAAGCUGCUGGGCCGGAGCCGGGGCUCACGACUGUAAUUGCAGCACUUUGGGAGGCCAAGGUGGGAGAAUCACGUGAGCCUGGGAGGCGGGGGUUGCAGUGAGCCAAGAUCUUGCCUUUGCAUUACAGCCUGGGUGACAGAGUGAGACCCUGUCACAAAAAAAAAAAAAAAAGGAAAAAAAAGAAAAAAGAAAAGGAAAAGAAGAAACGAGAAAAAGCUGUUUAUAUCAUCUUCACAGUGAAAUAGCCCAAAUUUUGUCUUUUAUUUUUUUAAAAGAAUUUGAGAAGCACAGAUUCUUGCUUUUCAUUUUCGACAUGCAUUGCCAAUUUUAGUUGGUAAAUAUUUUUGAUACAUCAACGAACAAAACGAAAAAGUUAGUGUAGGUGAUUUGUCAGGCCACAUCUUGGAAUUUAUCGAGAAUGUCACGUUUAAAAAAGGAACAGGCGUUAUGUAAAAAGCCUGGCUUAUUCAAAUAUGCCUAGAGUUUGUUGUUGUUGUUGUUUUUGUUUUUUCCUCCUUAUAUUUAAAAGUACGCAGGCCGAGUGCAAUGACUCACACCUGUAAUCCCAGCACUUUGGGAGACCAAGGUUGGUGGAUCACCUGAGGUCAGGCGUUCGAGACCAGCCUGGCCAACAUGGUGAAACCCUGUCUCUACUAAAAGUACAAAAAUUAGCCGGGCGUGGUGGUGGGUGCUUGUAAUCCCAGCUUCUUGAGAGGCUGAGGCAGGAGAAUCGCUUGAACCCAGGAAGUGGAGUUUGCAGUGAGCCGAGAUCAUGCCAUUGCACUUCAGCCUGGGUGACAAGGGCGAAACUCCGUCUCAAAAAUAAAUUAAUAAAAACAAAAAAUAAAAAUACGCUCUAGAGAAAAACAUUGUUAGCAUCUCUCUGUGUUAUAUUUGUGAAACACGUGUUAUAAUCUUACAGAACUCAGUUUGGGGAUUGCUAACUUAGCUGAUGGAGUGUGUUGUCCUAACAGAACUAUAGUACACACAUCUUUUUGAAUAUGGCUCCUCAUAGAGGAACUGUUAUGUGCGUUUUAGCAUGCAUAUAAUUCUUUUAAUACAUCCUGUGUUUCUUUCAGUAUUGCUAAACUACUAACAGAGGGAAAAAAUAACGUAAGAACAAAAUGGCUUAAGAACCGGGGGCUCAUAGAUAUUAGACAAAAAGAAGAGGGGACAGGCUGACAUGAGAGCAUCUAGAACAGCACCAUAGUAACAUCAUCUUCUAAAUUUGUUCACAAGAAUUCCCCUGAAAACACCCAGCUUCCCAGAUUUCCCAUAUGCAAAUGUUCUAAGCAUCUUUGGUCUUUAUCACAUAUUUAUACCCAGAUUGUUUGAGUUUAUGCUUGUAACUUGGAUACACUUUGUGCUUGUAACUUAAGGGUUUAGAGAGACUAUAGAAUAUUCUUG
This 1680-nucleotide long non-coding RNA is filed under the name Pan troglodytes (chimpanzee). RNAcentral's name for it is "long non-coding RNA NONPTRT011475". Lineage: Eukaryota; Metazoa; Chordata; Mammalia; Primates; Hominidae. The record is from RNAcentral.